GACGAACGCUGGCGGCGUGCCUAAUACAUGCAAGUCGAGCGGACAGAUGGGAGCUUGCUCCCUGAAGUCAGCGGCGGACGGGUGAGUAACACGUGGGCAACCUGCCUGUAAGACUGGGAUAACUUCGGGAAACCGGAGCUAAUACCGGAUAAUCCUUUUCCUUUCAUGAGGAAAAGCUGAAAGACGGUUUCGGCUGUCACUUACAGAUGGGCCCGCGGCGCAUUAGCUAGUUGGUGAGGUAACGGCUCACCAAGGCGACGAUGCGUAGCCGACCUGAGAGGGUGAUCGGCCACACUGGGACUGAGACACGGCCCAGACUCCUACGGGAGGCAGCAGUAGGGAAUCUUCCGCAAUGGACGAAAGUCUGACGGAGCAACGCCGCGUGAGUGAUGAAGGCCUUCGGGUCGUAAAGCUCUGUUGUUAGGGAAGAACAAGUAUCGGAGUAACUGCCGGUACCUUGACGGUACCUAACCAGAAAGCCACGGCUAACUACGUGCCAGCAGCCGCGGUAAUACGUAGGUGGCAAGCGUUGUCCGGAAUUAUUGGGCGUAAAGCGCGCGCAGGCGGUCCUUUAAGUCUGAUGUGAAAGCCCACGGCUCA
Molecule: ribosomal RNA, 600 nt
Filed under: Bacillus sp. YIM C217
Lineage: Bacteria; Bacillati; Bacillota; Bacilli; Caryophanales; Bacillaceae
Description: bacterial SSU rRNA
Rfam family: Bacterial small subunit ribosomal RNA
Source: RNAcentral